Molecule: long non-coding RNA, 1001 nt
Filed under: Gallus gallus (chicken)
Lineage: Eukaryota; Metazoa; Chordata; Aves; Galliformes; Phasianidae
Description: lncRNA (ENSGALG00010019251.1)
Source: RNAcentral
AGCUACUUCAUGGGUUGCUGAAAACAGUUGACAAAUCAAAAAGAAAGCUAACAGUAAACCACAAGAGUUACUAAUUUGAGAAUUGACCAAAACCUCUUAUGUCAAGAGCUCAUGGCAAUAUAAUCUCAGAAUUCCUUCCUUUCCUCAGCUUUGACUUUUCUUCCUUCCUUCCUUCCUUCCUUCCUUCCUUCCUUCCUUCCUUCCUUCCGUCCGUCCGUCCGUCCGUCUGUCCUUUGACUGGCAAAUUCUGCCUUGGACAUGCCUUAUGUCAGAGUGAUCUUCCCACCUAUUAUGCUUGGAAAUUACAAAGGUCAGUUUUUAAUUCCUGACUUUUUGCCUGGUUGUCUGCAGACAUAUGUUAGGUAGAGAUGAUAGGUCAUACUAUCUGGCAAACAGCUCAGUCAAUCUUCCCCACAGUUGGAAAUCACCAGAACAGAAUGGUAUCUCUUGCUCUCUCCUAGGCACCCCCAACAAAGAUGGAAGCAUGGGUAUUGAAAGUUACAUAUGGAGAGGAGUGCAUUAGCAGGAUACAGCCUAGUCACAAUCUCCUUUCCACAAACCCCUUUCCAUUGACUGUGUUUCCAUUUCUUCCACUGGUCAACUGGAUUUUCCCCUUCACUUGCUGUGAAAGAAGUAAGAGUCGGAGAAAUGUAAAACAGCCUUAAAAGCUCCCUAUCUGAUCAAAGGAAAUUCCCCCAGCGCAGGCCAGGCAGAGACUGCCAAAGGCUUUGCUCCGGUUACUUUUUAACAAGCCACUGCAGAAUGGGCUGAGUUAAUUUUUCAGGCUGCUGUAUGGCACAAAGGCAACAACCUGGACAAAAUCUGCUGGAUUCAUCUCCUAUAGCAGUUCAGUACUAGGAGAAUGACAAGAUUGCUUAAAGGCAACCCAUCCUGAGACAUGCUAGCUUCAUACAACACUGGAUCUUCCAUCAGUUUCUGUAGGACUCAGGAUAUGCUUGAACCAUUUCAAAUGCAAGCUGACUGUCUGCAGAUUAGCUACC